UACGUAGGGUGCGAGCGUUGUCCGGAAUGAUUGGGCGUAAAGCGUCCGCAGGUGGCUGUGUAAGUCUGCUGUUAAAGAGUGAGGCUCAACCUCAUAAAGGCAGUGGAAACUACAUGGCUAGAGUGCGUUCGGGGCAGAGGGAAUUCCUGGUGUAGCGGUGAAAUGCGUAGAGAUCAGGAAGAACACCGGUGGCGAAAGCGCUCUGCUAGGCCGCAACUGACACUGAGGGACGAAAGCUAGGGGAGCGAAUGGG
This 253-nucleotide ribosomal RNA is filed under the name uncultured bacterium. Its description in RNAcentral is "partial 16S ribosomal RNA". It matches the Rfam family "Bacterial small subunit ribosomal RNA", at positions 524 to 776 of the family's 1533-position model. The record is from RNAcentral.